Molecule: ribosomal RNA, 1406 nt
Filed under: uncultured prokaryote
Description: partial 16S ribosomal RNA
Rfam family: Bacterial small subunit ribosomal RNA
Source: RNAcentral
GCUGCUGGCGGCAGGCCUAACACAUGCAAGUCGAGCGAGAAAGCACUUCGGUGUGAGUAGAGCGGCGGACGGGGGAGUAACGCGUAGGAAUUUGCCCAGUAGUGGGGGACAACAUGUGGAAACGCAUGCUAAUACCGCAUAUGCCCUAUGGGGGAAAGCAGGGGAUCUUCGGACGCUAUUGGAGAAGCCUGCGUCGGAUUAGUUAGUUGGUGGGGUAAAGGCCCACCAAGGCGACGAUCCGUAGCUGGUCUGAGAGGAUGAUCAGCCACACUGGGACUGAGACACGGCCCAGACUCCUACGGGAGGCAGCAGUGGGGAAUAUUGGACAAUGGGGGCAACCCUGAUCCAGCCAUGCCGUGUGUGUGAAGAAGGCCUUAGGGUUGUAAAGCACUUUAGUCAGGGAGGAAGACUAUCAGGUUAAGAGCUAGAUAGUUUGACGUUACCUGAAGAAUAAGCACCGGCUAACUCCGUGCCAGCAGCCGCGGUAAUACGGAGGGUGCGAGCGUUAAUCGGAAUUACUGGGCGUAAAGGGUUCGUAGGUGGUUAGAUAAGUCAGAUGUGAAAUACCUGGGCUCAACCUGGGAGGUGCAUUUGAAACUGUUUGACUAGAGUAUAGUAGAGGAGAGGGGAAUUUCCGGUGUAGCGGUGAAAUGCGUAGAGAUCGGAAGGAACAUCAGUGGCGAAGGCGACUCUCUGGACUAAUACUGACGCUGAGGGACGAAAGCAUGGGUAGCAAACAGGAUUAGAUACCCUGGUAGUCCAUGCUGUAAACGAUGAGUACUAGCUGUUGGUCCUGGUGUAAAAGGAUAAGUGGCGAAGCUAACGCGAUAAGUACUCCGCCUGGGGAUUACGGCCGCAAGGCUAAAACUCAAAGGAAUUGACGGGGACCCGCACAAGCGGUGGAGCAUGUGGUUUAAUUCGAUGCAACGCGAAGAACCUUACCUACCCUUGACAUACUGAGAACUUUCCAGAGAUGGAUUGGUGCCUUCGGGAACCGCCAUAGAGGUGCUGCAUGGCUGUCGUCAGCUCGUGUCGUGAGAUGUUGGGUUAAGUCCCGCAACGAGCGCAACCCUUACUGUCAGUUGCCAGCACGUAAUGGUGGGAGCUCUAAGGAGACUGCCGGUGACAAACCGGAGGAAGGUGGGGACGACGUCAAGUCAUCAUGGCCCUUAUGGGCAGGGCUACACACGUGCUACAAUGGCCAGUACAAAGGGUUGCGAAACUGCGAAGUCGAGCGAAACUCAGAAAGGUGUUCUUAGUCCGGAUUGCAGUCUGCAACUCGACUGCAUGAAGUCGGAAUCGCUAGUAAUCGCGAAUCAGCAUGCCACGGUGAUACGUUCUCGGGUCUUGUACACACCGCCCGUCACACCAUGGGAGUGGGUUGCAAAAGAAGUAGAUAGUUUAAC